Molecule: long non-coding RNA, 2337 nt
Organism: Pseudophryne corroboree (corroboree frog)
Lineage: Eukaryota; Metazoa; Chordata; Amphibia; Anura; Myobatrachidae
Exons: 3
Source: RefSeq, a predicted model, not a curated record
CAUGAUGCCACUCUCAGGGGACGCCUGUUGUGUCUCCAGGCCACGCUUUCUCCCUCUCUCUGAUCACUUGUUACAAGGCAGUACCUCCUACAUGGUCGGCAUUCAGCCACCUACCGCCCUUCUCCUCGCGGCACACUGAUGGAGCAGCUCAGCCUUUCCCUCACAGUGUGGCUCCUGUCACAGCCACUCCAGCACCCGCCCUCACAGGAUGGCUCCCCUCAGAGCUUUCACUCCCCCUCUCAACAGGCUCCGUCUCUAUCAAUUCACAGGUGUGUGCUCUACAUACCCCUUCUCCUCCCCCACCCCAGACUGGGCUGCACCGCUCACAGGCGUUACUACGUGGACUCGGAGUGUCGCCCGGCAGCAGCUGAUCUUGGGGGAGGAGGCAGAGCAUGCUCUUCACCAAUUCCUUCUCCCCACAGCUGCGCUCCUCAACGCCGGGUGUGACGUCAGAUCGUGUGUGCCCACACAGUGUUUGGUGCUUGACAUGGGAACUGCAGCCGCUGAAGAGUGAAAACAAAGGAUGGAGCAGGGACCUGUGCACCAGCGCCUGUCAGCGCUGCACUCCUCACUCCAGUAGUCGGAUUCACAGAAGUGCACACCACCACAGGCUCUUCCCUUGCGUUCCCCAUCACCUGCUGUCUCCCUAGCCUGGACCAAGUCCCUGACUACUGCUCUUUACCGAUGGUUUUCCUGAAAGAGGGACGACGCACACCGUGGACUCUUGGAAUUACCACCACUGAAUAAGGGACUGCCAUCUGCGGACGCUGCUCUGCUUAAACGCCUUUACAAUACGGUGGUGGGGAGCAGCCACUGAGAAAAGAGAGACCGAUAGGCCUGAUUCCAAGACUUUAUCCGGUACUUACAGUACAUUCACGUGUCCAUAAUUUACCCAUUUAUUUGAAUUACUACACCAUAUGGCGCUUGUUCUUCUCCCCUACCUCCACAGAAUCGCAUGACUGAACCUACCCAGGUCAUUUCUUGAGGAACUGAGCUGCCACCAAAGAAGUUUGGAAGGUGUCUAUAGAGCACGGGAAAAUUUGCUAGAUGGCUUUGGAUGCGGAUCCAAUACGACUAAUUAAGUCUCAGCAUAGUGACAUCAGGCGACCUUUUUGGAAGGAACUUUCGAACGUUGGAUAAGCGCACUGAUCUAUAAAAACACUUUUUGCAUAUAUAUAUAUAUAUAUAUAUAUAUAUAUAUAAGGAACCCAGUUGCACUAAGAUAUAAUUUUUAAGCAGCACCUCUAGAUGAAUCUCCUGUUAGCAAAGAUUCUUAUAUAACAAAUAGCAGACUGAUCUGAGGGUGCUAAUAAUGGUGUUCCUUAUUUAAACCAUCCACAGUAAACUGUUUAACAAUGCCAAUAUAUUUAGCAAUAAAACAUCACUUAUUAAAAAUGUAUUCACAAUAAAAUUGUUUAAAAUAUACAAAAAUCCAUUAAAAAAAUCUGUAUAAUUUUUCAGAGUUUUAAUGUAUAUUUAUCCAGCAGGAUUUCAGUGAAACAGAGUCUUUUGAUGAUAUUUAAUCAUGAUGGAAGGAACAGACGUUGACAAGAAUAUACAAUCCAACGCGUUUUGUCCUGUAGGACUUCUUCAGGAGUAUAUAGUCAAUUGCCCAAAUUGUAGGUGAUAAAAGUGAAAAGGAGAUAAACCACUGGACAUGCCAGCUAGGGCUAUUCAAUCUGGAUUUAAUGGGUAUACAGUUGCAAUAUCGUAGAUGAAUUUUCAAAUAUAUAAAGGUGAACAUUAGUACUCUCCAGUGGGAGCAGAUUACUUUAAGGAUAGAUACCCAUAUAAAGGCCAACAGCUUUUGUUGGUCCGCUGUAGUACACCAGAUAUAUAUUACUGGACUUUUUGCUAGAUAACACAAAACCUUCCGCGUAGAAACAGGCAAUGGAAGCAGCCACACUAGAAUUGGUGUGACUCUUUAUCUGACUCUACACGUAUUGUGACACUGUAGGUUGUACAUUUGUUUUACACAUUUGUGGUGUGUGCUGUACCCCACUUGGUUUAUGUUUAUUCAUAGAUAUGGAGGACGAACAAUUGAGAGAAGAGGCAUAGACGGUUUAAGUCAGGGCAUUUAGAAUUAAAGAAAAAGUUGAAGUCGGAUUGGUGCAAUAAUAACCAAUAAAAAUUGUUGUAUAUGCAAUAAAGACUGUCACCAAUGCCCCCAAUGAUUGAUUUCAAUUUUUAAAAUCAAACAAAUUAAAUUAAAUUACUAAUCAAUCAAUCCUUCCUUCCACUACAUACAUACUCUACCUUCCUUGGGCCCCUGAUCUACUUAUUGAUAAAGAUCUGUGUCAGACCAUUUUUACUGAUUUUGUUUUCAUAUUUAAAAAA